UCUUCUCCCUGUCCCUUUUGCUGCUCGGCUUAGGCACCCGGGGGGCUCAGAUGAGGCGGCUUUUGAAUGAGCCUUUUUCCCCUGCAAGCUGUGUGGGUUCUGCUCACGUCGGCACUGCUGUGCUCUGUCUGCCCGAGUUCGGCAGCAGGAGCUCAGGGGGAAACUGAAAGCAGGGCAGCAGCAGAAAACACUCCAGAUAGACCAAAUGGGCACAGCAGGCUUUUGCAGAACCUUCCGCAGGGAAACCCUCGGGAAAGCACAGAGUUCACUAUGAGGUGAAGAGCCCUGAUGAAUGCAGGCAGAGCCCCGUGAAACAAGGGCUGAGGGGGCUCACAGAGCGUGCCACAGCACCAGUGCCCCUCACACCCCACAGCUCUGCUUCACUGAGGGCACUGAUCACCAGGCAUAGCUUGGUUAAACUAUUUAAUGAAUUAAUUGCAGGUGAUCUGAGUGUAGCUGUAAUGGCUGAGUUUGUAGCUACCAACUCCUCGUCUGAGGCAAGGGGAAUGCGGGGAGGACCUGGUGGACAUCGCGGUAAGGCAAGCCAGUCGCUCAGACCCUGCCAGGCAAGCAGACUCGCUGGCUAGGAAGUUGCUAGAAGCUGUGUAUGAGAGGCAAUCAGAAGAGAUUGGGGUGAGAGGGAAGAUGGAGGAGCAAGGCAGAGCUACUGGGAGCUGCACACGAGUAGUUUGUGUCGGGGAAAGGAGCUCUGGCAGCUGGGGAGGGUCUGCCCUGCUGAUAUUUUACUCUCUCGCCCCUCCCUCCGUGCCCUUCAGGAAUGGCUGUGUCUGUGCCCUGCCUUCCCGCACCGAGCCCCGACUCUGUGCCUCCCUGCCCGGGCUCAGGGUGUCCCGGAGGGACCCGGGGCCGGAUGGAGCCGGUGCAGGCCUGAGGGCGCGGAGGCGGCCAUCGCAGCAGCUGCGCCGGGGACAUGAGAAGCGAGGGAGCCUGAGCCGCGGGAAGCAUACUCUGGGACGUCAGAGAGGAAGGGAAACUUUCUCAAGGAAGAAGUUGCUUCAGUUUCUACCCUGUAUAACCUCAUGUGAAUGGCUAAGCAAGGGGUUAUCAGCUGGUCUGGCUUCCCCUUCAGCAUCCCCCCCCAGCUGCUGAUACCAGGGGGAAGUGGGAGAGCAACAGGGACAGCUUUACCAAAACACUCCUGACUUCCCUUCCUUUUCAACAUGUCCCUCCCUGUCUCCGCCUGGGAAACAAAAAGGUGUGAAAAAAACCCCAUGCAAAUACCUCACUAGGAGUUGUGUAAACCUUGUGGGAGGGAGACAGGGACACUCCAUGCUUUCAUACACAUAUUUAACAACCUCUUUUCCUGCCUUCUCAUAUAUUCUUCAAGCCUCGCCUGCUUUUAGUGCAGAGGAGAAAAACAGAAACACGUAUUUCCUAAAAAGUAUGCAAGCUUCAGGCAAGGUCCUGUUCUGAGGUGUUUGGAUUACUGCCUCACCUUAAUGUGGGAGAGAGGACUUGCAGCUGACAGCUGUGCCUCUUCAGGUACUUGAAUCUGCUGUUUACACAAUUUGUAUGAAUGAGAAAGGGAAAUUCAGCACUGUCUCUUUCAGUUUUGCUGCUGCCUCAGAGACAUUACAAGCCAUGACCGAUGAGGCAGCAUAUACCAGCUUUUUUGCUGCAGAUGCUAAAUUGAAAAAAAAAUUAAAAAAAAAAAAUCAUUUUUUUUGUUAUGCCAGAUCACACUGCCAACCUUUUGUUGAGCACAAGCUGUAUUGAAAGGCAAGGUGAGUCUGCUGAGGUCUCAUCAAAGACUGUGCCAUUGGGUAGAUCAUCUGUUGAAUAGAAUUUUUUUAUUGUGAAGCAUAGGACAGCUGCUGACUGGGACGAAGAGCAGCAGGAAGCAGAAAUGCAGCAGUGGUCAGCUUGGGGAGGACCAUACUGUUCAUUCUUGUGAGCUAUUGCAUAAAUUUGAGCCUGCACCACUUCUCUUAUGGGAUGAUGAAAAGAGAUUUGAUAAAAAUCUCAUGUCAUGUGAGGAAAACUCUUGAAUCCCUGGAAACUUAGGUAUGUAAUAAUGAAUUAAAGACUGAUAUCCAAAAGAGAAUAAAAUAAAACCACAGAAAUCAUAGAAACAGAACUUCUGCAGAGUAAACACUUGAAGAUAUAAAAGGGAUUAACAAAUGGAUUUUGAAAAUAGUUUAAAAAAUUACGAAGAGAUGGAGAAGAUCAAUGGUUGUACAAAAGUUGGUGUUUUGAGAGCCUUUUUAGAAGAGAAAUAAGUGAGAUCCUGGAAACAUGAUUUCUGAAAGUUUUUCUUCUCCAAAGACAUAAGAAAGCAAGUCUCCCUAUGACUCACCUUCCAAAUCAAAAUGCAGAUGCCCUCAGGGGUUUAGAGAAGAAUUGUGGUAUUGUAGAGGUUUCUAAGCUUCACUAAAACGUAGUUAAACAAGUGACUAAUGGGAAGAAAAGCUGUUAGAGAUGUGUCAGUAUAAGUGAAAGGAACACCCAGCUAUAGCUGCAAAUACAAGAUGCUCAAGAUCCUCUGAUCCCCAUUUCAUUUUAUGAAAAUGUAAAUUCCCAAAAAUUAUAAAAUCAUUUUGCCUAUAAUUGUUGAUUGAAUUUGGCAAAUUUCUUGCAUCUUCCAUUUUUAAAUGUGUAAUAAAUGCUUUUCAAUAUCUUCAAGUGAGGCUAUUGCAAGUUAGAGAGACCACUGUUCACAAUUUCAGUACUGGAACAUAGAUGUGACUUUGUUUUUGUACAUUUCUGUGUAAUUUUUCAUGUCUUAGUUUUCUGUGUACUUCACCUUUUACAUAGAGGAAUAUGGCUGAAGGCAGGCGCGCCUUUUGUUAAUUUCAUAUUUUUCUUGUAAACAGUCCUGAAUUCUGCUGAAGAACUGCUUUUAUUCUGUUUUAGGUUUUUUUUUUUUUUCCUUAACUAUGAUAAAACACAGUAUGAAUGGUUUGAAAAAAGGAAUAAAUUAAAAAGAUGACUCCCUGUUGAAAUGAACUCACAAAUCCCAGCAGAUUCUUAAUCCUGAAUGUUGAUUUACUGAUAAACACUAAAACUGCUCCUGAAACAAAAAAUUGAAAAAUGCACCUUUAAAUAUCCUUGUGUUAUCUACAUUAUUCUAUCUGAAGAUGUUAACAAUGUCACAUGAUAUGUUCUGUAUCAGUUUCAUAUUUACAUUUGUUUAUGUGGAUGAUUUAUCUUUGCCUAAUUUACAUACCUGACACAUUUUCCUGUAUUCCUGUAUAUCCUGUAUUAUAUGUGCUUCCCCCCCACCCCCCAAUAUGAAAAACUUUAACAAAUAAAGAUAAUAUGAAAUGUUUUGCAUUCUA
Molecule: long non-coding RNA, 3299 nt
Organism: Parus major (Great Tit)
Lineage: Eukaryota; Metazoa; Chordata; Aves; Passeriformes; Paridae
Exons: 2
Source: RefSeq, a predicted model, not a curated record